GCCAGCAGUGAUAGCACGUUGAAUGCACCAGUUCCGAUGGAUCAUUGAAGUUAAGAAACGUUGAAGUUAAGGUCAUCCUGAUCGGUGACCAUCUGGCCUCUUGCGUGCUGCUGGUU
Molecule: ribosomal RNA, 116 nt
Filed under: Diaphorina citri (Asian citrus psyllid)
Lineage: Eukaryota; Metazoa; Arthropoda; Insecta; Hemiptera; Psyllidae
Source: RNAcentral